GGGCGUCGCGUAGCUCUCACUCUGCAAACAGCGAAAAUGGCUUCCCAUGCAUUGUCACAAAUGUUGGACGAGCUUAUGGGGCGGGACAGAAAUCUUGCCCCAACCGAAAAGAAAAGUGAACUUCAUUGGCAAGAUUCCGAGGUCUGCAAAUUUUUCCUUGUGGACUUUUGCCCCCAUGAAUUGUUUGUGAACACAAGAGCUGAUUUAGGACCUUGUGAAAAAAUACAUGAUGAAAUCUUUAAGAAAGAGUACAAGACAUCAAGCAGAGUAAAAACCAUGGGCUAUGAGGAAGAAUUUGAACGCUACUUAGAGGGGUUGAUUGCUGAUGUGGAAAGGCGAAUUCGCAGAGGUCAUCAGCGCUUAGCCCUCAACAAUGCCCAAGGAAAUCUGAAUGGACAACUGAACAGAGACAAAGAAGAAAAAAUACAAAUGUUGACAGAAAGAAUAAAUGACCUUGUACAACAGGCUGAAGAACUGGGCUGUGAAGGGAAGGUAGAGGAGGCACAGGGUGUCAUGAAACUCUGUGACCAGCUCCGAGAGGAAAGAAAACAGAGCGAGACGAAUAAGCUGGCAACACAAUCCAAUGAGCCAGAGAAGACAAUGGAAGUAUGCUCAGUUUGUGGGGCAUUACUGGUGGUUGGCGAUGUUCAGCAAAGGAUCGAUGAACACUUGAUGGGCAAGCAACAUGCUGGAUAUGCCCGCAUUAGGGCAUACGUGGAGGGAAAGAAAAUGAAAAGAGUUACUGAAGAAGAGGAAAGAGAGGCUAAAUUUCAAAAAGAGAGGGAAGAACGUGAGAAAGAAAGGGAAAAGGAAAGAGAAGAACGACGGAAACGAGAGAAAGAAAGGGAAGAAAAGGAAAAAGAACGAGAAAAAGAGAGGGAAAGGGAAAGAGAAGAAAGAAGAAAAAAACGUUCUAGAAGCCACGAUCGAGACAGACACAGGCGAUCACGAAGUAGAAGUCGCCACAGCAGACGUAGAUCCAGGAGUCAUUCAAGGGAUCGUCACAGGUCCUCCCGUCACCGCCGCUCCAGGUCAAGGUCACACUCAAGGAGGUCAAGGAGUCGAGACAGACGUUCACGUGACAAGGAUCACCGACGCCGUUCCCGCAGCAAGGAGCGGUCUCGUGAUAAGGACCGCAGUUCCAGGGACCGGUCGAGGAGGAGUAGAGAUAGGAAGGACAGAGAUAAAGGAAAGACAAAAUCCCGCUCUAGGGACAGAGACAGCCCUGUGACACAGGAAAAAUCCAAAGGGGACACAUUCAAUAACAAAGAUGAGCAUGCACAAAAUAAUGUUUUGGAGGAAGUCAAAGAUUGAUUUAGAGGUGACACAAUAUUUGCUGUCAGUUUUCCACAAACAAGGCUUGCAGCUGACCAAGCUAUUUGCCGACAUCUUUACCGAGAGUAUAAUCAAUUCCAUCUUGUACUUGUUCCUAUACCCAACACAAGGUGAGUGGGAAAAAGUCAACAUUUUAAUAUUGACAUGUACUUUAAUAUACUAUAAUUUAAUAUUUUUUCAUCUAAUGUAUGAAUCGGGAUAAUUUUGAUAAUGAAGAACUGAAAUUUAAUCUUUGAGAUCAUGUUUAUUUUUUUCUGAUUAAAAAGGAAGACAUUUACUUUUGUACUCAAUAGUAUUUCUAAAACGAAAGUCAUUUACCUUGAUGAUGUCAAUCUCCAUGAGAAACAGGUAAGAUCUAUGAACUAUUUGAGUCACACUCUUUGAUGAUGAUGCAGUUAUAUGACAGGUAACAUAUUGUGUACUCGGCUCCUAAUCAUCCAAAAGGACUAGAGAAACUACAGGUAAACAAGUGCAUUUUGGCUGCGGGAAAAAGAAAAAUGGACAGAAAGAUUAAUUGACUUUAGUACAUUAAGACAUAGGAAUGGAUAUCAGUUCUGAUAAGAGACAUUUAAAAGAUACAUCACAAAAGUUUUUUGAACAAUAUGUGAACAAAUGUUAACACACAACAGUGACAUCAUAACAGGAAAUGGCAGAUACUGUAUUAAGUGCAGGUUAUUGUUACUAUUGAAAGUUAUUUACAAUACUAUUGACUACAUAACUACUCAAAGAAAAAAAUAUGGAAGGGGAAAUAUCAACUUUAAUAAUGAUCACAAUUGAGGUUAGUGCUUGGAUUAAAAUUCUGUGUAAAAGAUGCCCAAAAUGUCAUUUUAGACAUAGGUUAGUGCUUUGUGUACCAAGAUGAUGAUGCUGUUGUUGAUAAGGAGGUUAGUGAUUGAAUACAUAUACCAUGUACCAGGAUGACAAUCUGCUGUUGUUGAGGGGGAGGUUAGUGCUUCAAUACAUGUUCCAUGUACCAGGAUGACAAUCUGCUGUUGUUAAUAUGGAGGUUAGUGCUUCAAUACAUGUUCCAUGUACCAGGAUGACAAUCUGCUGUUGUUAAUAUGGAGGUUAGUGCUUCAAUACAUGUUCCAUGUACCAGGAUGACAAUCGCUGUUGUUAAUAUGGAGGUUAGUGCUUCAAUACAUGUUCCAUGUACCAAGAUGACAAUCUGCUGUUAUUAAUAUGGAGGUUAGUGCUUCAAUACAUGUUCCAUGUACCAGGAUGACAAUCUGCUGUUGUUAAUAUGGAGGUUAGUGCUUCAAUACAUGUUCCAUGUACCAGGAUGACAAUCUGCUGUUGUUAAUAUGGAGGUUAGUGCUUCAAUACAUGUUCCAUGUACCAGGAUGACAAUCGCUGUUGUUAAUAUGGAGGUUAGUGCUUCAAUACAUCUUCCAUGUACCAGGAUGACAACCUGCUGUUGUUGAUAUGGAGGUUAGUGUUUCAAUACAUGUUCCAUGUACCACAACGACAAUCUGCUGUUGUUGAGGGGGAGGUUAGUGCUUCAAUACAUGUUCCAUGUACCACAACGACAAUCUGCUGUUGUUGAGGGGGAGGUUAGUGCUUCAAUACAUGUUCCAUGUACCAGGAUGACAAUCUGCUGUUGUUAAUAUGGAGGUUAGUGCUUCAAUACAUGUUCCAUGUACCAGGAUGACAAUCUGCUGUUGUUAAUAUGGAGGUUAGUGCUUCAAUACAUGUUCCAUGUACCAGGAUGACAAUCUGCUGUUGUUAAUAUGGAGGUUAGUGCUUCAAUACAUGUUCCAUGUACCAGGAUGACAAUCUGCUGUUGUUAAUAUGGAGGUUAGUGCUUCAAUACAUGUUCCAUGUAACAGGAUGACAAUCUGCUGUUGUUAAUAUGGAGGUUAGUGUUUCAAUACAUGUUCCAUGUACCACAACGACAAUCUGCUGUUGUUGAUAUAGAGGUUAGCUCUCUGUACCAAGAUGACAAUCGGCUGUUGUUGAUAUGGAGGUUAGUUCUCUGUACCAGAAUGACAAUCUGCUGUUUAUUGAUAUGGAGGUUAGCUCUCUACCAUUAUGGCAAUCUGCUGUUAUUGAAAUGGAGGUUAGUUCUCUGUAGUCUGUACCAUUAUGACAAUCUGCUGUUAUUGAUAUGGAGGUUAGCUCUCUGUACCAGGAUAACAGUUGACUCUUGUUGAAAUGGAGAUUAGUUCUCUGUAGUCUGUACCAGUAUGACAAUCUGCUGUUAUUGAAAUGGAGGUUAGCUCUCUACCAGUAUGACAAUCUGCUGUUAUUGAAAUGGAGGUUAGCUCUCUACCAGUAUGACAAUCUGCUGUUAUUGAUAUGGAGUUUAUAUCUCUUUACCAGGAUGACACUAUGUUGCUAUUGAUGUGGGGGUUAGGUUUCUGUACCAGGAUAACAGUUGACUGUUGUUGAUAUGGAGGUUAGUUGUCUGUACCAGGAUGACAAUUGACUUGCUGAAAGGUUAGUGCUUCAUUGCAUAUACAAUGUACCAGGAUGAAACUGACUGUUAUUUAAGGUGUAAGUUAGUGCUUCAAUACAUUUUCUCCGUACCGGGGUGACAAUCUGGUGGGAAAUGCUUCUGUUAAUUAAUAUUCUCUUGGGUGUUGGUAUGAUAUUGUGUUCAUGUUGACAAGGUAAUUUAUACAACCAUUGAUUAAACUACUGGAUGAAGAAAUAUUUUUUGUUUUGAGGUUAGUAUGACCUUAUUAACACUAGUUUCUUCUAGACUGCUUAGUUAUGGGAUUGCAAUGCACCAAAAUAAAGAUCAGCUCUAGUAGUAAUUGAAGUUAGUACUACAGUUGGAGUUUCUGUUGUACAACGGAAAUUGGAAUAACUACGACAUACAAAAUGUUUGUUGUGGGCGCAGCUGUUGCCAGCUCUUUGUGAUUGUUUUUUGGCCUGUACAUGUACAAAGGUCAGUAGUAUGAUUGAUCUGUACAAACUUUAAUGGUUAACACUUGAUACUGUGGUGUCAUGUUUUGUUUUUAUUAAUAUGGAUCAACAUCUUUCCAUAUAUGGGAGAUUGUUUUAUUGUUCAUUCCUGACACUGCAAAAUGGAAUAUUGAGGUUAGUGAAAGCUCGAGUAAGUCUGCCAAUGGUUUGAGCGGAUCCGGUGUUAUUCAAGGUUAGUGAAAACAAACAUUUGACAUGAUCCAAGCAACUUGUGCGAUGGGCAGGAGGCAACACAUUUCCCCGAUUCCACAGCAAUGUCAAGUAAGAGUAGUGGUGAGAAAGCUAGGUCUUGGCUGGACAAGGCCUUGGCCAUAGCUUGCACCGUGCAUGUACAUUUGACGUCUUACAAAACUACUCUUAAAAGACAUUUGCACAAUACUUCUGAUUUCAGUGGCCUUCAAUUACAAUAGCAAAACUACUGUGGAGAAGGAAAAGCAUUAUAAAGAAACAGGAUGUUGAAUGAAAACUACUCCCCUCAUGCUCAUCUGUGUAUUGUAUCAGAUGUACAGCCAUCGGCCAUAACCAUGAGAGGAUAGUUUAGCCAAGGAUUCCAAGUCAAACAUGGCAUAGAAAAGACCGCUAUUGCUGCUAUGCUCUCUCCAUAGGGAGAGGAUUUUCCUUGAUUAAUAUAUAUGUAUUAAUUGUUCCUAUUUUGAGGUAUGUUGAUAUAUGAAGAUAAUCAUUUGUGGACUUACUAUAUGAAAACACAAUUUUGUUGGAAGAUUUGUUAAUGAUAGAUAACCUGUGUACAUAUAUUAUUGUUUCUGAAGAAUACAAUUUUGUCAAUCUCUGUUCACAGAAAAUCCGAAGUGUAAUUUACAUGUCCAAAAUAUUCUGAAUACAUGUGUUAGUUCUCCAUUGUAUGCAGUAUCAAUUGAACCUGUUCAUGUUAAUGGAUAAACAGUAAGAUGAAUAAUAAAUUCCUUGAAUUCA
Pecten maximus is the source of this 5199-nucleotide RNA transcript. It is a transcript of the gene named luc7-like protein 3, with no coding region annotated. Lineage: Eukaryota; Metazoa; Mollusca; Bivalvia; Pectinida; Pectinidae. The transcript has 12 exons. The record is from RefSeq and is a predicted model, not a curated record.